AUCACAGCCUGCUCAGAAAGUCAUUGUGGAGCCUGGAAGCAUGCCUCUGCAAACAGAAAACCAUCUUCUAUGGGAAUUGCUUAUGCUGAAGAAGAAAUCCUUACAGUUUGUCACUAGCUGGUCCUACUGCGGUUCAUCUGUGUGCAGAUGCAGUUUCAUAGUGAUGUCCCCUCCUGUGUUCAUGGUGCUCCUGUGCCUGCAGAGACAUCAGUGUCACUGCAGCAACAAAACAGCUUCUGAAAGAAACAGCAUGGAGCAUCUCGGGCUGGAGUUCUCAUUAGAGAGACCACUACAGCAAAUGAUGCGAACUGGCAACUUUGUUGGCAGCCUUAGCAAAAAGAGCAUCUGGAGGGAGAUGCUAAAAUGGCCAUCUGCUCCUGGGAUUUCAGUUUCCAAAGCCAGAGUGAGGCUGAACAUGUUUAAUUUUGGACAAAAAAAAGAAGACACUGGCUUUCAGGGAAAGAAGAGACUUGCCUGCCUUGGUUAG
Molecule: long non-coding RNA, 487 nt
Filed under: Numida meleagris (helmeted guineafowl)
Lineage: Eukaryota; Metazoa; Chordata; Aves; Galliformes; Numididae
Description: lncRNA (ENSNMEG00000019589.1)
Source: RNAcentral